This 488-nucleotide ribosomal RNA is filed under the name uncultured bacterium. Its description in RNAcentral is "bacterial SSU rRNA". It matches the Rfam family "Bacterial small subunit ribosomal RNA", at positions 28 to 523 of the family's 1533-position model. The record is from RNAcentral.
GACGAACGCUGGCGGCGUGCCUAACACAUGCAAGUCAAGGGCUACCCUCGGGUAGCACUGGCGCACGGGUGAGUAACGCGUGGGUAAUCUGCCCCUAUCUCUGACAUAACAUCGAGAAAUCGGUGCUAAUAUCAGAUGAGGCCCGCAAGGGUCAAAGACCGCGAGGUUGGAUAGGGAUGAGCCUGCGUCCGAUUAGCUAGUUGGUAGGGUAAUGGCCUACCAAGGCGACGAUCUGUAGCUGGUCUGAGAGGACGACCAGCCACACUGGAACUGAGACACGGUCCAGACUCCUACGGGAGGCAGCAGUGGGGAAUUUUGGACAAUGGGCGCAAGCCUGAUCCAGCAAUGCCGCGUGCAGGAUGAAGGCCUCGGGUUGUAAACUGCUUUGUACGGUAACGAAACGGUAGAGCUCUAUAAAGACUUAGCUAAUGACGGUACCGUAACGGAAUAAAGCACCGGCUAACUAACGUGCCAGCAGCCGCCGGUAA